GUCCCAUCUGUAACAACCGAAAAUGAAAUGUUGUAGUGAUGAUGAUGAUGGCCAAUCAAAUGGACUAAUAAGGCCAUGAUGAUCCAGUUGGUGAAGUAAAUCCACCAGGAUCUUUUUUGGCCUUCUGAUGGCUAAAGAUCCAAAUGGGACAGGCAAAAAAAGCCCUGUCAUCCUCAGAGCAGAGACUGGUAUUGCUGUCUUCUGAGUUCUUCAGUUUCCCAACUGAGACAUUCAAACCUCAUCACAGAGCUCAUGUCCAUCCACACCAUCAUGUGGGUGAGAGAUUGUUAUGUGGCCUGCAGCACCUAUGAGAACACAUUCGUGCCUGUAUUUCAGCUUCUUAUGAUCUACACAAGUGGCCAGAGUGUCAGUGUUUGAUCGCUCUCACAGAACCUGACUUCAGUCACCUCACUCCAGGAAGACAGAGGGCUGCAAGGUGUGUGUGUGUGUGUGUGUGUGUGUGGUCUAGAACUAUAGCAAGCUAUAGUUAUACAGUUCAUACAAACACACAGCUCUAAAUCUUGAUCAUGUGAUUAUUAAAUAUCUAUUGAACCAUUUCAUGUAUUUUUAUAGAAGGUACACAACCUCAAAAUGUGAAAGUGUUUAAGAGGAGAAAUAAUGAAA
Long non-coding RNA from Oreochromis niloticus (Nile tilapia), 624 nucleotides. RefSeq lists it as uncharacterized. The record is from RefSeq and is a predicted model, not a curated record. Lineage: Eukaryota; Metazoa; Chordata; Actinopteri; Cichliformes; Cichlidae. The transcript has 3 exons.